CGCGUAGGUGGUAGUGCAAGUCUGAGGUGGAAUCUUAGGGCUUAACCCUAAAAUUGCCCUGGAAACUGCAUUACUUGAGUCAGUGAGGGGAGGGUAGAAUUCCUGGUGUAGCGGUGAAAUGCGUAGAUAUCAGGAGGAAGGCCGGUGGCGAAGGCGGCCCUCUGGCGCUGAACUGACACUGAGGCGCGAAAGCGUGGGGAGCAAACAGGAUUAGAUACCCUGGUAGUCCACGCCCUAAACGGUGGGUACUAGGUGUAGGGCUCGUAAGGGUUCUGUGCCGAAGCGAAAGCAUUAAGUACCCCGCCUGGGGAGUACGGCCGCAAGGUUGAA
Molecule: ribosomal RNA, 330 nt
Filed under: uncultured bacterium
Lineage: Bacteria
Description: bacterial SSU rRNA
Rfam family: Bacterial small subunit ribosomal RNA
Source: RNAcentral